Molecule: long non-coding RNA, 577 nt
Filed under: Zonotrichia albicollis (white-throated sparrow)
Lineage: Eukaryota; Metazoa; Chordata; Aves; Passeriformes; Passerellidae
Description: lncRNA (ENSZALG00000006605.1)
Source: RNAcentral
GCUGUGUCCUUCUUGAUCAGUGAGAAAAGAGAGGCUAAAAAGGAUUGUGGAAGUGGCUGGGGACCUACCUGCAAGUCACAGCAAUGGCAUUUAAAAAUUAAAGGUAAGGCAAAGACAAACACUGCUGCCCUAGACUGUAGCACAGUGCAAAGCAAAGAGCAAGAGAGAGAGUUUCAUGGAAGAGGGGAUGUCCAACUCAAGCUUCUCCUCUGUGACAUUUCUCAGAGUAAGUUGUAUUUCAGAUUAGUAGCCCUUGGCAGUAGUCUGGAGAAAGAUGAGAUUUUAGUGUGAUAUGCUACACAGGCAUGGGGGGAAAGCAAAGAGUAUGUGCGAAAAAUUGAAAUGACAAGGUCAUGUUGAUAGCUUGGUUGUGGGAGCUGCCGCGGUAGUUUGUUGCAUUAUGAUUAGAGAUGGGCCAGCUAGCAAGAAUGAGAUGAGAGCUGGUUCAAACCUUCAUCCACUCCUCUAACCAGACUGAAGUGGGGCCCAUGGUGAGGCUGAAACACAUCUAGCACUGGUACAUUUGGUUUCUCAACAUGAUUUAAUGAGCUUCUGCUUCUGAUAAUUUAGCUCAGAA